ACUUUUGUGUUUGCCCUGCUUCUUCUUGAUCUUCGGAUUCUUUUUAGUUUUUUUUUUGGAGGGGGGGGGCAAAAUCGAUGUGAAACGAAACGAAAUGGAACGAAACGAAACGAUACAAAGCGGACGGUGGAAAGUGCGCGGCGCUUGCUCGGUAGAUGCGACACGAUUGAAACACGAUUCGGUGGGACGAAGAGCCAAAAACCAAAAACCGUAGGCAAAGCCCCACCGCUCCACCAGCAAAAGCAGCGGCAGACCAACGUCAGCGUCGGCAAAAGCAGCGCAGCUGGCGCUAAAUGCGUGCGCGACUGUGUGCGUGCGUGAGAGCGUGUGGGCCGUGCGCAAGGUGUGUUUGCACAAGAAGCAGAAGGGUCGGAGAGAGAGAGAAAAAGACAAACACGACAGGGAAAUGGGAAGAAGGAGCUUGUCGAUUUAAAUUAUUUAUUAUAUUCAGCUAUGCAUCAUAUUUUUGUAGAUAACCAUCGAUAUUCCACCUUUUUCCCUCAGCAAAAAACUUUUAGUCAGCUGUUUUGCAAAAAAUAAUUGAAUAUUCCGAAUAUAAUAAAUUUUUGCCACCAUUAGGGCCCUAUGCUUCGCCCAUUCUCAC
This 604-nucleotide small RNA is filed under the name Drosophila pseudoobscura pseudoobscura. RNAcentral describes it as "GA32616". The record is from RNAcentral. Lineage: Eukaryota; Metazoa; Arthropoda; Insecta; Diptera; Drosophilidae.